RNAcentral lists this long non-coding RNA (206 nucleotides) under Elaeis guineensis (African oil palm). RNAcentral describes it as "long non-coding RNA (EGUI_LNC047411)". The record is from RNAcentral. Lineage: Eukaryota; Viridiplantae; Streptophyta; Magnoliopsida; Arecales; Arecaceae.
CUCUGAUACCACUGUUGAGUUUCGGUGGUGUAGCAGAAGGGUUAGGUGUUUAAAAUUUUCAUUCAAAACACCCGAUGCAUCGAAAACCCCAAUGCCCAGAAACCCUUGACUAUAAUAAUCAAAGUACAAUAAAUAUAAGUUAAGAUAAGAAGAAAACCUGUAGAGCUAAUCUCAAUUUUCAUAAAAUAUCCAAGUGUCCGCCCUCC